UAAUACGUAGGGGGCAAGCGUUGUCCGGAAUCAUUGGGCGUAAAGAGCGUGUAGGCGGUCCGAUAAGUCCGCUCUGAAAGCCCGGGGCUCAACCCCGGGAGGCGGGCGGAUACUGUCGGGCUAGAGUCCGGAAGAGGCAAGUGGAAUUCCUGGUGUAGCGGUGAAAUGCGCAGAUAUCAGGAGGAACACCGAUGGCGAAGGCAGCUUGCUGGGACGGUACUGACGCUGAGACGCGAAAGCGUGGGGAGCAAACAGGAUUAGAUACCCUGGUAGUCCACGCUGUAAACGAUGGUCACUAGGUGUGGGGGGUGUCGACUCCCCCCGUGCCGGCGCUAACGCAUUAAGUGACCCGCCUGGGGAGUACGGCCGCAAGGCUA
Molecule: ribosomal RNA, 377 nt
Filed under: uncultured bacterium
Lineage: Bacteria
Description: bacterial SSU rRNA
Rfam family: Bacterial small subunit ribosomal RNA
Source: RNAcentral